RNAcentral lists this ribosomal RNA (308 nucleotides) under uncultured Eurotiales. RNAcentral's name for it is "eukaryotic LSU rRNA". The stretch from base 253 to 308 matches the Rfam family "Eukaryotic large subunit ribosomal RNA", at positions 1 to 56 of the family's 3401-position model. The record is from RNAcentral. Lineage: Eukaryota; Fungi; Ascomycota; Eurotiomycetes; Eurotiales.
ACGCGAUCGAGUGAAUCAUCGAAUCUUUGAACGCACAUGGCACUGCCCGGAAUCCCGGACAGUAUAUCUGUUUAAGUAUCGUUUCAAUCUCACCCCACGUGUAGUGUGUAAACAUUCCAUGUAGAGUGGAACUGGGGUCUUGUGGGUUUCCCACAUGCCUUUAAAAAUAGUAGUACGUUCUAUUAGAACAGUCCGCAAGGAAUCUCUUGAUAGCAUCUUACCCUAAACGAAUAGGCUUCGCGCCUUGAAUUACCAUCUCAAAUCAGAUAAGAUUACCCGCUGAACUUAAGCAUAUCAAUAAGCGGAGG